This 323-nucleotide ribosomal RNA is filed under the name uncultured bacterium. RNAcentral describes it as "bacterial SSU rRNA". It matches the Rfam family "Bacterial small subunit ribosomal RNA", at positions 396 to 736 of the family's 1533-position model. The record is from RNAcentral.
GCCGCGUGAGCGAUGAAGGCCUUCGGGUCGUAAAGCUCUGUCCUAAGGGAAGAAUUUUGACGGUACCUUAGGAGGAAGCCCCGGCUAACUACGUGCCAGCAGCCGCGGUAAUACGUAGGGGGCAAGCGUUGUCCGGAUUUACUGGGCGUAAAGGGUGCGUAGGCGGUCUUGUAAGUCAGAAGUUAAAGCCCUCGGCUCAACCGAGGUAAGCUUUUGAAACUGCAAGACUUGAGUGCAGGAGAGGAGAGCGGAAUUCCUAGUGUAGCGGUGAAAUGCGUAGAUAUUAGGAAGAACACCAGUGGCGAAGGCGGCUCUCUGGACUG